GAGCGGGGCGGGGCGGGGCCGAGAUCACGCUGAUGCCCACAGGACCGGCACGGCGUGGGGUGCAACAAGGGGCAGCCACCCACCUAGGAAAGGGUGCACAGUGGGGGCACCCACGGGGGCAGGCACCGGAGGGGGUGCCCACAGAGGAUAGAGGACGCCGAGAAGUGACCUGGGGAGCCAUAGGAUGAGGAAGAGAGAAGAGAUGACAGCAGGGGCUGUAGGAGGUCACCCUCCACGGAGGGAGGGGUGACGGCAGAGGCGUCCGCAGGAGCUGGUACCGGUGGGGCUGCCCCCAGGGGGGGCUGACAGAGGCAGCAACUGAGCAGGCAGGGGUGGAGCGAGGUGCCAGCCUGCCGUGGAAAGGAGACGCCAGCAGCGGGGGGCCCUCCUGGGGUCCCAGUCCUGCUCUGCCCCACAGCUCAGCCCCAGCACCUCCAGCCACAACCAAGAGCAACGCCUGAUACGGGCUAAGGGUCUCUGCUCUCUGAUACACAUUCAUGUGUAAAAUAACAGAACCGCCUUGAAGUACAUCACCAUCCUAACCAAAAUGGGCUGACUACAUUAUUUCAAGUUUAGGCAUCAACCUGCCUUAACAACACUAUGGCCGGGUGUGGUGGUUUGCACCUAUAAUCCCUGCACGUUGGAGAGGCCAAGGUGGGAAGAUCGCUUGAGGCCGGGUAACACAGCGAGACUCCAUCUCUACAAAAAAAUUAAAAAUGAGCCGAGGCUAAGCACUGUUGAAAAAAUAAAGGAAAACAGACUUCACAAGGAUCUCCGUGCUGAAAGCAGCCUUCAACAGGAAGGUCCCUGGAGAAUCAGCUCCUUCCAAAAGAUCAGGGGAUGAAGACUUCAAGACCGCAACUGCUGCUGUCUCACCCCUAGGCAGGAAUGGACCACCCUCCGCCCUCCACCCUCCGCCAGCAGCCCACAGGAAGCAAGUAGAACCUGAUACCACCUCCCGCCAGUCUGUGAAUAUAUAAUCUGACUUGUAUUUUCCCUGUUUUCCCAUUUUGCAUACUUCAGAAUAAAGACAUCUGUUCAUAACACU
This 1048-nucleotide long non-coding RNA is filed under the name Homo sapiens (human). RNAcentral's name for it is "HSALNT0384009". The record is from RNAcentral. Lineage: Eukaryota; Metazoa; Chordata; Mammalia; Primates; Hominidae.